GUGAGGGCGGUGCUGACGUACGCGGCUCCGGCGUCGUGCGCAGGCAGGCGAGGCGCGGCGGCGGGCGGGAGCGCCCUGGGAGCCCAGAGGCUCCUCAGUGAGAGCAGCGCCGCGACCUUUGCAGAGGCGUGACAGCGGGGCGGCCGAAGUUGGCCGCGGGCCGCCGGCCACUCGCCCUCCCCAGGACGGGGCAGAAUCUCCCGCAGCAAAAGGUCGCUCUGCUCCCUGCUUCUAGUCAGGGUUCGGUGGCCUUAUUUUGAAUGAAGAGCAUGAAGAAAGGGUAUUGCUCAUCUAGGUGAUGAUAAAUUCAUUUGUGCCUCCCCGCCCCCACCCAGAAUACUGACUGCUCCCUAUGUAGAGUCUUAAUCCAUCUUAGACAUUGAUUUUCAUGGACUACUUCAUACAAUAGUGAUCUGGAACCCUUGAAUGGUUACCAUCGUCCACUUAAUUGCCUAAGACAAGACACAAGACAUGGGAGUCCAUUGAAAGUACCAAAGAUGUUAAAAAAAAGAGAGAAAUAAAGAAAAUCUUAAAGAGGAAAAAUGAUAGUAUUGCCAUAUGAGAAAUGAAUACUCAAAUAUGUGAAGCACAGAUGACCAAACUGAAGCAAAAACUUCUCAGAAUGGAGCCUCUUCAGAAGACUUCCCCUCUGAGGAGCCUCCUUGACAAGUCCUCUGCUCAUUCCUCUGUGUUUCCCAAUGAACCUGUGCCUCCCUCUGCUGAAGCAAAUAGCAGUCUGCUAUGUCUCUCCUGUGAGACAGUAGGUGCAUUGUCUCUCACACCUUCUUUCUCUAUCUGCAGAGAUUAUCCCUGGUUUGAUACAUAAGAUGUGCUUACAAAGUGUUACACAAAUGAAGAGUUUAAUUUCUCUGAGGUUAAGGUUUUCCAUCUCUAAAAUGGGAAUACUAAUAAUAUAUGAUAUUGGGGUUUCCAAGAACCUUCUUUAGAAAAGAGGCUGGCCCUUCCCUCUUUAAUAAUAACAGCAAUAGGUUUUGUUAUUGAGUACCUAUUAUAUGUGCCAAAUGCCAAAUGCACUUUUAUUGUAUUAUCAUUAUCUCUUUUAUUAUCUCGUUUGUCUUAUGCCCUGUGUUAGUCAGCUUUCUAUAGCUGUGACAAGAUACUUGAGAUAAUCAAUUUAAAAGGAGGAAAGAUUUAUUUUGCCUUGUGUUUCAGAGGUUUCGGGUUAUGGUCACUUGGCUCAUUUGUUUUUGGGCCCAUGGUGGCGCAGUGCAAUCACUGUGGAAGCAUACAGUGGAACAAAGCUGCUCACCUCAUGGUAGCCUGGAAACAAAAACAGAAGCGGCUGUUGGCCGCAUGUACCUUCCUAAGGCAUACCCUUAUGAUCCAACAUCCUCCCACUCAGCUCUACAUCUUGAAGGUUUCACUACUUCCCUCUAGUGUCACAGGCUGGCAACCAGGUCUUUACAUGUGUUUUUCUGGGGACAUCAAAACCAUUGUUUCUCUUGUGUGAGAAUUCCAAACUAUAUGAAUAAGGAGAAAAAUGGAGGAUAGAUAUUAGGAAGUGGGAAGAACUUGUUCAAAAAGAAAGGGGAACAGGAGAUGGGAGAGAGGAAAGGAAAGGAGAUU
This is a long non-coding RNA of Heterocephalus glaber (naked mole-rat), 1587 nucleotides long. RefSeq lists it as uncharacterized. Lineage: Eukaryota; Metazoa; Chordata; Mammalia; Rodentia; Bathyergidae. The record is from RefSeq and is a predicted model, not a curated record.